CUAACCGCAAGGAGGACGCCGCCGAAGGUAAAACUGGUGAUUGGGGUGAAGUCGUAACAAGGUAGCCGUAGGAGAACCUGCGGCUGGAUCACCUCCUUU
This 99-nucleotide ribosomal RNA is filed under the name Faecalibacterium prausnitzii. RNAcentral describes it as "partial 16S ribosomal RNA". It matches the Rfam family "Bacterial small subunit ribosomal RNA", at positions 1435 to 1533 of the family's 1533-position model. The record is from RNAcentral. Lineage: Bacteria; Bacillati; Bacillota; Clostridia; Eubacteriales; Oscillospiraceae.